GACGAACGCUGGCGGCGUGCUUAACACAUGCAAGUCGAACGGAAAGGCCCUGCUUUUGUGGGGGUGCUCGAGUGGCGAACGGGUGAGUAACACGUGAGUAACCUGCCCUUGACUUUGGGAUAACUUCAGGAAACUGGGGCUAAUACCGGAUAGGAGCUCCUGCUGCGGGGGGGGGGUUGGAAAGUUUCGGCGGUGGGGGUUUGACUGGCGGCUUAUGAGCUUGUUGGUGGGGUAGUGGCUUACCAAGGCUUGGACGGGGAGCCGGCCUGAGAGGGUGGGCGGCCCCAUUGCGCCUGGGCUGCGGCCCAGACUCCUCCGGGAGGGAACGGUGGGGAAUGUUGCACUAUGGGCGGAGCCCUGAUGCAGCCCCGCAGCGUGCGGGAUGACGGCCUUCGGGUUGUAUUCCGCUUUCGCCUGUGCCGAGGCGUGAGUGACGGUAAUGGGUAAAGAAGCACCGGCUAACUACGUG
This 469-nucleotide ribosomal RNA is filed under the name uncultured bacterium. RNAcentral describes it as "partial 16S ribosomal RNA". It matches the Rfam family "Bacterial small subunit ribosomal RNA", at positions 28 to 507 of the family's 1533-position model. The record is from RNAcentral.